UUCAUCUUUGUGUUCCCGCCCAUCUGCACAGUCUCUCACACUCGACCAAUCAGUAAAGCUCUAUUACACUAACCACAUCCUAUUCCCCAAUCUCCAUUUUCAAAUUCUCUCCCCCUGUCUGCCAUUCUCACGGGUCACUCUCUCCGACAAAUCGAAACCCUAGCGAAGCCAAGCCGGCCACAAUGAACCACUACCACAUCUACCAAGCCAUUGGCCGCGGCAAAUACUCGACCGUGUACAAGGGGAGGAAGAAGAAGACGAUCGAGUACUACGCGAUUAAGAGCGUCGAUAAGUCGCAGAAGAGCAAGGUUCUUCAGGAAGUUAGGAAUCUCCACUCUAUGGAUCACCCAAAUGUACUCAAAUUUGUUUCCUGGUAUGAAACCUCCGCUCAUCUGUGGUUAGUUUUGGAGUACUGUGUUGGAGGAGAUCUGAUGGCCUUAUUACGACAGGAUAGUCAACUACCUGAAGAUUCAAUUCACGAUCUCGCCCGUGAUCUUGUCAAAGCUUUGCAGUUUUUACAUUCCAAGGGAAUUAUCUACUGCGAUUUGAAGCCGUCAAACAUCCUGCUGGAUGAAAAUGGACGUACAAAGCUAUGCGAUUUUGGGUUGGCUAGAAAAUUGAGUGAUAUUUCAAAAACUCCUUCGUCAUCGUUGCCACAAGCAAAACGUGGAACACCAUUUUACAUGGCUCCAGAGCUGUUUGAUGAUGGGGGUGUCCAUUCUUAUGCAUCUGAUUUCUGGGCCCUUGGUUGUGUACUGUACGAGUGUUAUGCAGGGAGGCCUCCCUUUGUGGAAAAAGAAUUUACUCAACUAGUAAAAUCCAUCCUCUCAGAUCCAAUUCCACCUCUCCCGGGUAAUCCAAGCCGUCCUUUCGUCAAUCUAAUCAAUUCUUUGCUGGUAAAAAAUCCAGCUGAAAGAAUUCAUUGGCCAGAGCUUUGUGGACAUGCUUUUUGGAGAAGUAAAUUCACUUCAGUGUCUCUACCUCCUCAGCCUGCUUUUGAUAAUAUGAUAGAACUAUAUGCUAAACCAUGUCUUUCAGAACGUAAUGGUGAUAAAUCUCAUCAAAACAAGACCCCUCCUAAGUAUCGUGAAAAAGAUGUAAAAGGGGCUCUGAAGCAGGAUGAGAAUUCUACCUUUGGAUCACGAGGCUCUGAGACACCAGGCAAAGGUACACCAAGUGGCCGUAGAACUCAAAGCAAGGCUUCUGGCAGAGUAGUUGAGGAGAAACAGAAAGAUCGUCCUAGUGCUACCAGAGGUGCAAAUCUUUUAAGGCUUUCAAGAAUAGCAAAGUCAAACUUACAGAGGGAGAAUGAGAAGGAAAACUACAGGAGGCCCUUGCCUAAUAGCUCUGAGAAUGAUGCUGAAGUCAAAUUUGAGAACACUGAUAUGGAACUUGAUUUUAAUGAGAAUACUGAAGAUGAGGCACAAGAUGAAUCUGAUAAUGCAACUUGUAUGCCUGAAGACAAGUUGUCAAGUCAAGAUCAGCAUCAGGGGAAAGUGGAAGAGAUUGAAAAUAACACACAACAGUUUGAUACUCCAUCUGUUGUUAAUAUGCCUGCCUCAGAUGAACCAAAAGCACUUGAUCAGGACUCAUCUUCAGAGCAUAUUGAAGUGGCUGCUCCCCCUCCCAGUGUCAGUCCUCAACUUAAAAACCAGAGAGUUAAGGAAGGUUCAGGAUCAGUCAUUGACUCUGAUUCUACAAAAUCGUCUAAUAGCAUUUCCCAGGUUCUUUGGCAUCCAUCUGAUCUCUCAGUCAGACCUGUAAUGCCCAGCAGAAAAGCUGAUAAACUGUCGGAGGUGAUUCCUUCACUUCCCUUUGAGGCACUGCAAGCAUCUGAUUAUUUGAAGAUGCCUAAAGAAAAAUUGGAUGCCAUGAAUAAUAAGAUUAUAGCUAUUUUAAAUGGAAACACUAGCGUUGGGGAGAAGCAGAAUUUGAUUAGAUACCUUGAGAUGCUGAGCAGUAAUGCUGAUAUAGCCAAUAUCUUUACCAAUGGGCCAAUAAUGCUCAUGCUUGUUAAAAUGGUCCGACAAUCUAAGGCUUUUGCGUUGCGUGUUCAACUUACGUCACUUAUUGGCUUGCUGAUACGGCAUUCGACUUUUAUCGAAGACGAUUUGGCACAUUCUGGAAUUUUAGGUUCACUUACUGAUGGCCUUAGAGACAAGCAGGAAAAGGUGAGGAGGUUUUCUAUGGCUGCUUUAGGUGAGUUGCUAUUCUAUAUAUCAACUCAAAAUGAUCAUAAUAGAGACAACAAUCCACCAGAAUCUCCAUCAAAGGACAAUAAGUCUGCAUCUGGCUGGCAGGUUUCAAAUUCAUUGAUUUCAUUGGUGUCGUCAAUUUUACGAAAAGGUGAGGAUGAUAUAACUCAACUUUAUGCACUGAGGACAAUUGAGAAUAUAUCCGGUCAAGGAGGGCACUGGGCAGCCCGUUUCACCAGCCAGGAUGUGAUUGGUAACCUGAGCUACAUAUACAGGGCUGCAGGGAAACAGGAGAACACGAGACUCACAGCAGGAUCAUGUUUGGUCCGCCUGGUUCGUUUCAGUCCUCCCAGCAUUCAAUCAGUUAUAGAGAAGCUUUCCUCUAAGGACAUAGCAUCUGCCCUUGUCAAGGGCAGUCCACGUGAGCAGCAAAUCAGCUUAAACCUUUUAAACAUGGCCAUGCUUGGAAGCCACAUGUUCACCAAUAUUGGUCGGUAUCUUCUACCACUGGUGGAGGACAAGAACCUCGUACCAAGCCUUGUGUCUCUCAUUGAGCAGGGAAGUGAAGUUUUGAAGGGAAAGGCACUCGUAUUCGUGGCUCUCCUUUGUAAAAAUGGUAGGAGAUGGCUGCCACACUUUUUGUGCAAUGCUAGGUUACUUUCCACGGUGGACAGACUAGCAAAAGAGAAGGACAACUUUGUGCAGCAGUGUUUAGAUGCAUUUGUGAAUGUUGUGGUAUCCACUAUACCUGGCUUACUGGAUACCAUAACUGGAGAUAUUCAACAAAUGAUGGGAGGAAGGCGCCAUGGGCAUAUCUCUGCCCUUAGCAGUCGAGCUGCUCCAAAGACUAAUGUUCAUAUGUUUCCUGUUGUUCUUCAUCUACUUGGGAGCUCAUCUUUUAAGCGCAAGGUGGUGAGCCAUCAGGUCCUGCAGCAGUUGGCAAAUUUGGUCAAACUGGUGGAGACCCCAUUUCAGGGCAGGGAUGACUUCCAAAUAACCCUUCUACGAGUUCUUGAGUCUGUGACAGAAGAGUCCGCUGCAAUUCUUGAAAACCCUAUCAUUUUUAUUCGUGAAAUCCUCCCCAGCUUGGCUGUUCUGUAUAAGGGAAACAAGGAUGGUGAUGCCAGAUUUUUGUGCCUGAAACUUUUGUUUGAUGUAAUGGUCAGUUUUCUGAAUGAACCAUUUGACAAUGAUCAAAGAUCAGAGGAUUUGAAGUCCAUAUCUAAUACACAUUUCCUCCCUCUGUACCCCACCUUGAUUGAUGAUGAAGAUCCCAUUCCGAUGUAUGCACAGAAGCUUCUUGUGAUGUUCAUUGAGUUUAACUACAUUAAAAUCUCAGACAUUCUACAUUUGAAGACAAUCUCACAAUGCUUUGAGUUUUUGCUCGGUGAUCUCUCCAGUGCAAAUGUAAGCAAUGUUCAGUUGUGUUUGGCUCUUGCAUCUGCUCCUGAAAUGGAAUCCAAGUUACUUUCUCAACUGAAAGUAGUCAGAAGGAUUGGAAACUUCUUGGAAUUUGUAUAUGCAAAGGAUAUGGAAGAUUUCCUUGAACCAACUCUUGGCCUGUGUAGGGCUUUUCUUCUACGUUCCAUCAAUGGCAGAAAAGGGGUCAUCUACUCAAAAGAACCAGAUCUCUUAAGUGAUAGUUCUGCUGAUACAAGCAGUGUAGUUGAUCAGCAGCAAUGCAUAAGAGACAUAAUUGACUUUGGUAGCAAUGUAGGUGUCUUGCUAGAGUUAAGUGCGUACAAUGAAGCAAAUGUUGCAGAUUUAGCUUCUGAAUGUAUGGUAUUAUUGCUUAAGGCCGCUCCGAGGGAAGCCACCACUGGUCUUCUGACUAAUCUCCCAAAGGUCAGUGCGAUUCUCGAGUCCUGGCGGAGGGGCAUCUCUCACUUGCUUGUGCUGCGGAUCCUGCAUACUCUUGGUUAUUCUUGUAGGCAAUAUCUUUCACAAGCGAUGAUAUUGUCGAUAUCUGUACCUGAGAUUUCAAGGAUUGAAGCCAUUGUUUCCGAGCUUAAAAGUUCAGGUGUAUCUGGUCUAGCUAAUGCUGCUUUGCUUGUGGCACAGGAGUUGCAGCGGCUGCCUCGAUGCAUUUGAGGCACAGUGCGUUUUUUGGGGUUUCAGGAAAUUAAGAAUAUGUUUGCUGAACUCAGACGAGGAGUCAAUGACCCUUGUGUUAAGGUUAUAUUUUCCAGUUCUUUUGAGAAACUACAAGGAUUUCAUGUCAUAUGAGCCAUGAGGUGGCACAUGGCUUUGCGCCACACCGUAUGGGAAAAAAAAUUAUUUCCUUUCCGAGUGCAUGUGACACUACUUUUUUUUUUUUGGUAAUUACAUGCGAGAAAACCAAAUGACAAUGAAUCAGUUGUCUCACAGCUUGAAGAAUCAGACACAAACAUCUCACAUGUUGGCUGAUCAAAGUCAAAUUUAAUAGUGAUGUAUUAGGUGACCUGAUUUGUCUGUUUCCACUGGCAGCAUCUUUGCUCCAAAGAGGCAAUCAUACUUUGCUUUUCUACGUCACACUGAGCCAUUGGUCCAUUUAAUUAUG
RNA transcript from Corylus avellana, 4734 nucleotides. It is a transcript of the gene named kinase family with ARM repeat domain-containing protein, with no coding region annotated. Lineage: Eukaryota; Viridiplantae; Streptophyta; Magnoliopsida; Fagales; Betulaceae. The record is from RefSeq and is a predicted model, not a curated record.